CCCUACGGGGGGCAGCAGUAGGGAAUAUUGCUCAAUGGGGGAAACCCUGAUGCAGCGACGCCGCGUGGGUGAAGAAGCGCCUCGGCGCGUAAAGCCCUGUCAGCAGGGAAGAAAAUGACGGUACCUGGGGAGGAAGCUCCGGCUAACUACGUGCCAGCAGCCGCGGUAAUACGUAGGGAGCAAGCGUUGUCCGGAAUUACUGGGCGUAAAGGGAGCGUAGGCGGGGAUGCAAGUUGGGUGUCAAAACUACCGGCUCAACCGAUAGUCGCACUCAAAACUGCAGCUCUUGAGUGAAGUAGAGGCAG
This 305-nucleotide ribosomal RNA is filed under the name uncultured bacterium. RNAcentral's name for it is "bacterial SSU rRNA". It matches the Rfam family "Bacterial small subunit ribosomal RNA", at positions 337 to 660 of the family's 1533-position model. The record is from RNAcentral.